This 580-nucleotide ribosomal RNA is filed under the name Fusarium oxysporum f. sp. lycopersici. Its description in RNAcentral is "SSU rRNA". It matches the Rfam family "Bacterial small subunit ribosomal RNA", at positions 347 to 859 of the family's 1533-position model. Lineage: Eukaryota; Fungi; Ascomycota; Sordariomycetes; Hypocreales; Nectriaceae. The record is from RNAcentral.
UGGAGAAGUGGCAAGUCUUCCAGUAUGGGGAGCAAAACAGCUAUGGGUCAAGUCCGAUAUCUUUAGGAGAAGUCUUAUUGUGAGGGCGAGUUAUAUAACACCAUAGGACUGGCCGUCCCAUAUGAAAAGAUUAUAUUAGAAUUGAAUGAAGCUUUGUUUAUAUAUUGAUAAUGACAGUAUAUAUAUCGUGUCUUGACUAAUUGCGUGCCAGCAGUCGCGGUAAUACGUAAGAGACUAGUGUUAUUCAUCUUAAUUAGGUUUAAAGGGUACCCAGACGGUCAAUAUAGCUUAUAAAAUGUUAGUACUUGACUAGAGUUUUAUGUAAGAGGGCAGUACUUGAGGAGGAGAGAUGAAAUUUCGUGAUACCAAAGGGACUCUGUAAAGGCGAAGGCAGCCCUCUAUGUAAAAACUGACGUUGAAGGACGAAGGCACAGAGAACAAACAGGAUUAGAUACCCAAGUAGUCUUUGCAGUAAAUGAUGAAUGCCAUAGGUUAGAUGGGUCAAUUAUAGUCUAGGGUUAGUCUAGCAAACUAAUACCCUAUGCUAUAAUUCCUAAUAUCUGGUCUAUAAAUGAAAGUG